UUCAUGUCGACCUGUUUUACAAGCUUCAAAGGAAAAUUUUCAUCCACCAUAUGCACAAAAAACAUAUUUUAAAAAGGGGUCACCAAAAGAAAUGGUUCCUAACCUCACCACCAAGUGCCCUUUUUUUCUGGCUUUGGUAACUAGCAGUUAUGGUUUACCAUCUGCAUCUAAACAUAUAGUAGCAAUAUACUGUAGAAUCCACGAACAAGCACCAACUGAUGCACGUAUUCAAACUUGGCGUAAAGCCAUGCCUACCUUUUCUUUUCAUCUUUCUCAAAUUCUUCAUAGAAUUCGUCGUCGUCAUCGUCAUAAUAUUCUUCGUUGUCUUCAUCGUCAUAAUAAUAUUCUUCAUCAAGGUCUGAAUCACUGUCCUUGCCAUUUGAUAGAUAUUUCUGCUGCUGCGCCCCCAUCAACCGCUCUUGAAUUCGAUCUCUGAUGGCUGUGCCCAUCUUAUGACAACCUUCUUCAAACAUCUCUAGAAACCCAGCUACCCAGCGAUCAGCAUUUUCUACCCAUUCAUUCCUGUGCAUGCCGGCAGUUUUUGCAACUGUUUGAAUCUUUUCUCCCACUUUUUCUUGAUGCUCCUUAACUUUCUCCUGUAAUUUCUUCAAUCUCAUAUUUACUCUAAGCCGUUUUUCCUUCACAAAGCUGACUCCAAGCUCUUUCCUUGAAUAACCACGGUCCAAAUUGCGCAGUACAUACUGAUUAUAAUCUUUAACAAUCCUCAUGAUAAUGUCUGAAGUUGAGAUUCCUUCUGUCCUUUUUGUUUCCUUGAACUUUCCAAUCUUUUUAACAAAUUCAUAAACAUCCUUCCCAGCUCCGGUAGCAUCAGCAUAGGGCAGAGAAUCAUGGGCCACAAAGUCAAUCUUGUGCUUGUCAAUAAAUUCUUGAGAGAUCACCCAGGGUGCAUCAGGAAUCACUUCAUCCACCCACUUGCAAUGGCGAAGCGAUUCAUAUCGUUCAGCUUCAGUCAUAACAGUUUUCCCUUUAAACUUAUGGGUAAUCUCAUCGUUGCAACAUCCAACUAGCAGAAAGGUAUUCGGGAACGAUUUCUUGGCUUGCUCAAGAGAGCGAGCGUGACCAAAAUGGAAGAGAUCGUAGAUCCCAUCAGCGUAGACUCGAACUGGACGGUCCGUCGGCUGAUCGGAAUUCGAAUGGUUUUGAGAACCGUUGAGAGCGGUGGUGGUGGUGGUGGUGUUGGUAUAUGGGCAAGUAAAAUAUGAACAUUGGAUGAUUUUAUAAGCUCGAGCUUGACGAGUUUCUUCAUCGAAAUUUCUGGUUGGGAAAAUAUGCCAAGGCGUUGGGUCUAAGUUGUGACCUGCCACCGUCUUAAUGCGCGAUACGAAACUAUCUACCUGGUAGAGGAAAAGAGCGGUGAGAGAGAGCAAACCGAUGAGAAAAGGGAGGAAAUAAGAGGGAGGGCGAGCUGCUGAGAUCCUCAACGGAGCACCCAUUGGAGGAGGAGAUAAGAUUUUUGUUACAGUGGUGUUUUCGAGGCAUUGUGUAAGGAAAACUUUCCUUGUUUCGCUUUUUUUGUCUAGUGGCUUUUGGCUUCCCCCUUUUCCAUUGGUU
This 1572-nucleotide unclassified non-coding RNA is filed under the name Hevea brasiliensis (rubber tree). Lineage: Eukaryota; Viridiplantae; Streptophyta; Magnoliopsida; Malpighiales; Euphorbiaceae. The record is from RNAcentral.